UACGGAGGAUCCAAGCGUUAUCCGGAAUUACUGGGCGUAAAGAGUUGCGUAGGUGGCAGAGUAAGUAGAUAGUGAAAGCGUGUGGCUCAACCAUACAUCCAUUAUCUAAACUGCUCAGCUUGAGGAUGAGAGAGGUUAUUGGAAUUCCCAGUGUAGGAGUGAAAUCCGUAGAUAUCGGAAGGAACACCGGUGGCGAAAGCGGCGCGCUGGACCUCUUCUGACGCUGAGGCGCUAAAGCCAGGGGAGCAAACGGG
This 254-nucleotide ribosomal RNA is filed under the name uncultured bacterium. RNAcentral describes it as "partial 16S ribosomal RNA". It matches the Rfam family "Bacterial small subunit ribosomal RNA", at positions 524 to 776 of the family's 1533-position model. The record is from RNAcentral.